UUUGCUUCCCUCGCUCUUUUUCCUUUCAACCGACUUGCUCCCUCCCACUGCGUGCGUGUGUGUGUGUGUGUGCCUGCGAUGGAGCUGCCGAUCCUGAAAUUCGAGGAGGAGAUUGUCGAGACAGUGAGGAAGAACUCCGUCGUCGUGUUGAUUGGGGAGACGGGCUCCGGCAAGAGCACACAACUUUCCCAGAUCCUUCACCGCCACGGCUACACGAAGUCCCGCGCCAUCGGCAUCACCCAACCCCGCCGCGUUGCCGCCGUCUCCGUCUCGAGGCGAGUUGCAUCUGAACUUGGUGUUACUCUUGGUGAGGAAGUGGGAUAUGCCAUUCGAUUUGAAGAUCGGACAUCACAGAAGACAUGUAUUAAGUAUCUUACAGAUGGUGUUCUCCUCCGUGAAAGCCUUUCUGACCCUGAGCUGAAUCAUUACUCGGUUAUUAUAUUGGACGAGGCUCAUGAAAGAAGUUUAAAUACUGACAUAUUAUUGGGCCUGAUGAAGCGCUUGAUUAAGGUUCGUCCCUCAAAUUUGAAAGUUCUUAUAACCUCUGCAACUCUGGAUGGUGCCAAGGUAUCAAAGUUUUUCUCAGGUUGUCCUGUGUUGACUAUUCCUGGAAAGCUGUUUCCCGUGGAAAUACUUUACAGCAAAGGGACCCCUGCCAGCUAUCUUGAAGCUUCUAUACACACAGCACUUGAUAUACAUAUUCGGGAGCCACCAGGAGACGUUCUAUUAUUUAUGACAGGCCAGGAUGAUAUAGACAAAGCUGUUAAGAAACUGGAGGAAAGAGUUACAACUAUGGAGGAGGGUUCAUGUAUGGAUGCCAUUAUUCUUCCGCUUCAUGGUUCUUUGCCUCCAGAAAUGCAGGUAAGAGUUUUCCUCCCAGCACCCCCAAAUUGUAGACGGAUUAUUGUGGCUACAAAUAUUGCUGAGACGUCAUUGACUGUUGAUGGUGUAGUGUAUGUCAUUGAUGCCGGUUAUGUGAAGCAGCGACAGUACAAUCCUUCAACUGGAAUGUAUUCACUUGAUGUUGUGAAAAUUAGCAGAGUGCAAGCGGAUCAACGUUCUGGCAGAGCUGGGAGAACUCGUCCAGGAAAAUGUUUCCGCCUUUAUCCAUCCUCUGUGUACCAUGAGGAACUUCUAGAAGCAACUAUUCCAGAAAUACAACGUUCAUCUCUUGCUGGAACUGUCCUUUACUUGAAAUCACUGGGCCUUGCUGAUAUCGAUGUUCUUCGAUUUGAUUUUCUAGAUCAGCCAUCGUAUGAGUCAUUAGAAGAUGCUUUGAAGCAGUUAUACCUCAUCGAUGCAAUUGAUGGGAAAGGUUCUGUUACAGACAUUGGAAGAAUGAUGGCAGAACUGCCGUUGGAACCAUCACUUUCAAGGACUUUGAUUGCUGCCAAUGAGUUAGGUUGUUUGCCCCAAGCAUUAACAGUUGCUGCUAUGCUAUCUGCUGAGAACAUUUGGGCUCAAACCUCUAGAAAAAACAAUGAUAAGAAAAGGAAGCCUAUUCAGAAUCUGCCUGAUGGUUCUGGCUGGGGUGAUCACAUACAAUUGCUGCAAAUAUAUGAGACUUGGUCGCAGGCUGAUUAUGAUCCAAAAUGGUGCAUUGACCAUAACCUCCAGGUCCGUGGGAUGAUGUUCGCUAAGGAAGUCAGAAAACAGUUAUCUCAGAUAAUGCAGAAGAUUGCUAGGGGGCCUACGGAUGUGCAAUCAAAAUACAGGCGACAAAAUAGCUCCGAGGACUAUGCCAAAUUGAGAUGGGCAUUGUGCAAGGGCUUUGCAAACCAACUUGCCCAGCGCAUGAUUCACCAUAAUGGCUAUCGGACAUUAAGUCACCGGUCACAACUUGUGCAGGUGCAUCCAUCUUCUGUACUUCAGCCAGAUGAAUAUGGUAAUUUACCAGAUUAUGUGGUAUACAACGAACUGAUCACUACAUCUAGGCCAUUCAUGCGUUACGUGUGUGCUGUUAAAUUGCCAUGGAUUAUGCCCAUCUCAGAGAAACUGGAGAAGAUGGAUAUCAACUUGUUAAGUGGUGGUCAAUCUGCCAAAAAUUUUGGGUCUCUAAGGGCCACAUCACCCUCUUGUAAUCUGGAGAGUGCACAACAUGAUGUGACAAAGACUUCAGAUGAGCACGAGAAAAAAAUACAAGCUGCAAGAGAGCGUUUUCUUGCAAGAAGAUUGAAAAAGUAGCUUGGCAUUUAAUCAGAAGGCACUUUCCUGCUAGUUAUUGGCUGAACUGCGGUAGCAGUUGUCCCGCUCUGACAUUCUAGCCAUUGGAGCUGGCUCCUCUUCCUCAUGGUGUAUGUAGAGGUUGAUCCUUCCUCAAGUGCAUCACUUGCAGGAAACCCCCUGCGAAUCCGUCAAUCUGAGGAGCAUGCCGAAAAAAUCAAAGGAUGGUUGGCUUUCUCCUGUGAUCUAAUGGACUAGUUGGGAUCAGUUUUGAGCAUUUUCUGAAGUGGUUGUUCUUUGAGAGUGUUGAAGCCUUUAUCCUAGGUUCAGAUUACUGGCUGCCUCGUGAAGUAUGCUCAUAGUGAAAGGUCGUUGUUUAAAGGAAGAUCUUGUUCAUGCCACCAUUGUGAGCUUUGUUCACUUGAAGAAGUACUUUCUGGGUCUCCAAAGCUUCAUCGAAAGGAUAAAGAUCAAUAAUGAGGCCAUUGCGAGAUCCUAAGUCAUAUGGACAGAUAAUUGGAGAAUUAUCUUAUUUCAUAACUAUGCAGCUAUAUAGUACACAUGUUUAUGUUGCAAGCUAAUAUUAUCAUGCUCCUACUGCGGUUCACAUGGGUGCAGCAAUGAUGUGUAUUAUUCAGUGCAUCAAAAAUACAACUUUCGGGGGGUCUAUUUUUCAUCUUCAUCUUCAUCAUUAGAUGUAAUUUGCUUACAUUAAUGCAGAUUGGGGUGGACCUAAAUAUUCAUCACUUUCCUGUGAGUUUUGAUAUUUUUAUGAUGGUCCCUCUUUUAUCGACCAAGUAAGAACCAAUGAAAGAUCUUUGCGUUCUCUGUUGAAGCACAAUAUUACGUUCUAAGAAGUCUCAAGGACAUGGAUCCGAAUACUGAAGAUACUUCAAAGCUUUGUGUGUGUGUGUAUAUAUAUA
RNA transcript from Nymphaea colorata (pocket water lily), 3086 nucleotides. It is a transcript of the gene named probable pre-mRNA-splicing factor ATP-dependent RNA helicase DEAH4, with no coding region annotated. NCBI's taxonomy places the organism in Eukaryota, Viridiplantae, Streptophyta, Magnoliopsida, Nymphaeales, Nymphaeaceae. The transcript is spliced from 19 exons. The record is from RefSeq and is a predicted model, not a curated record.